CAAGAGUGUGAUGCUCCAGAAGAGAGCUACUGUGCAAUAUGUAGUCUAAGAUGUCUCAGAAUAAUCAGAUAAAAAUAGACCAAUAGCAUUUAGCAACACAGAGAUCAUUGGUGACCAGUGAGAAGAUGUUGUCAGUGUGUGUUGGAAACAGAAGUCAGUAAGGAGUGUGCUGAGAAGUGAGGAGAAGAAUAAAACUGGAUAUGUGAUGACGCCCAAUGGAUACCUGCACUUGUGAAGUCCCUGUCUCAUCGAUCUAAGCGAAGCUAUAUGUGACUUGCUUUGGCCAGUGGCCAUUACCAGAUGAGAUGCCCGCGUACACAGGAAAAGCCCUUUUGAAUUGGGGCUUGGACAUUCUUGCUCUUGAUAACACUGCUGCCAUGUAGAAGCCUGGGUUAGCCCAUCUGAGGACACGACCAUGAAGAGCAGACAUGAGCCUUCCUAGCUGAGGCCACAAGCUGACACACCAGCUGAUUACAGCCACAUGAGUGAACUCAGGCAAGUCAACAAGUGAACUGACAAGGCGGGCUUAGCUGGAAUCAUAGGCAAAUAAAUGAUUGGUCUUUUAAAUCACCAA
RNAcentral lists this long non-coding RNA (574 nucleotides) under Homo sapiens (human). RNAcentral describes it as "HSALNT0347802". The record is from RNAcentral. Lineage: Eukaryota; Metazoa; Chordata; Mammalia; Primates; Hominidae.